GAUUGCUGGAUUGGAGUUUCCCUAACGACUCAGUCAUUAUUUUAUUCUGACGUUUCAUAUUUGUGUCUUCACAAUUAUUUUUCAUCCAAACGACAGCAUGCUUCCGAAGCUGAAUCUUUCUAAAAAUAAACCUCCUAGUUAUGCCUCUCCAGUAAACGCCGAAUCAAGACCAAUGAAGUUUCCUUAUACUUUCUCCGCAAAGAUUGCGCAAUUUCCAUAUAGGUUUCACUUCGAAAAUAACUGGCUGUUUAGGUACUACGUUUUUGGAGUCAUUGCUUCUCUUCCAUUUUUUAUAUAUUGCGGAAAGGUAGCAAAUUCUCCUGCAAAUAAGGCGAAGUGGGCAGAAAUUCGUCGUCAAGAAGAGGAAGAGUAUAAACACAAGUUCGAUUGAAAAUGGAUUGGUAUAUAGUUCGUUUACCAAUAUCGAAAGUAGCAAUAAACCGUAAUAAUUCAAAAUUGUUCCAGUAAGAUAUAGGUAGUAAAUGUGUCCAUGCUAAGAAAAAUGAGAAUAAAAAAAAGAACUUUGUAGUUAUCAUUUA
This is a long non-coding RNA of Leptinotarsa decemlineata (Colorado potato beetle), 539 nucleotides long. The record is from RefSeq and is a predicted model, not a curated record. NCBI's taxonomy places the organism in Eukaryota, Metazoa, Arthropoda, Insecta, Coleoptera, Chrysomelidae.